CUUGGGAAGCUCUAAGAAUCGAUAUGCUUUAUUUUGUCAGGUCCGAGAGGAAGCAGCAAGGGGUAUAUUGGUUUUGUAGGCUUCCCUUUUUU
Molecule: signal recognition particle RNA, 92 nt
Filed under: bacterium
Lineage: Bacteria
Description: signal recognition particle sRNA small type
Rfam family: Bacterial small signal recognition particle RNA
About the family: The signal recognition particle (SRP) is a universally conserved ribonucleoprotein involved in the co-translational targeting of proteins to membranes. Archaeal SRP consists of a 7S RNA and homologues of the eukaryotic SRP19 and SRP54 proteins.
Source: RNAcentral